GUUCCUACGGGGCGCAGCAGUGGGGGAUAUUGCACAAUGGGGGGAACCCUGAUGCAGCGACGCCGCGUGGGUGAAGGAGUGCUUCGGCAUGUAAAGCCCUAUCGGCAGGGAAGAAGCAAGACGGUACCUGACUAAGAAGCCCCGGCUAACUACGUGCCAGCAGCCGCGGUAAUACGUAGGGGGCGAGCGUUAUCCGGAUUUACUGGGUGUAAAGGGAGCGUAGACGGCGAUGCAAGUCUGAAGUGAAAGGCGGGGGCCCCACCCCCGGACUGCUUUGGAAACUGUAUGGCU
This 291-nucleotide ribosomal RNA is filed under the name uncultured bacterium. RNAcentral describes it as "partial 16S ribosomal RNA". It matches the Rfam family "Bacterial small subunit ribosomal RNA", at positions 335 to 642 of the family's 1533-position model. The record is from RNAcentral.